Molecule: long non-coding RNA, 1198 nt
Organism: Suricata suricatta (meerkat)
Lineage: Eukaryota; Metazoa; Chordata; Mammalia; Carnivora; Herpestidae
Exons: 4
Source: RefSeq, a predicted model, not a curated record
UCCCAUGUAGUUCCUGGGUGCAGAAUUCUCUGGAAACACAGGGACUUCUAAAUGGCUCAACCCAGACCUACCAUUCAGACCAGGCCACUCUGUCCCCAGUGGAGCCCAGGCAGCCACUUCUGAACAUCUGAAACUCACUCCUUGUGGCAGCCCAGGCAUCACUGAAAGAAGGGCAUGAGGACCUGUCUUGGCCAGGAUUUCAGGGGCCUGGGAAAGCUCCUGCCUUCACCAAGAAAUUCCACCCUCUCUUAAAUACAUGCUGUCCCACCAUGAAAGAUUCCUUCCCAGGCUGAAGGACAGACUUUUCUCGAACUACCAUUUCCUUGUAGCAAAGACCCGCCCCCAGCUGUCAGCAUUUUGUCCUUUACUGCGAGUUGUCAGGACCUCCUUUGGACCAGCGGCUGGGACCCUUCAAGCAACAGUUACCAGAAGCCAUGACAUGUCCCUGCAGCUGGAGGCCUUUGAGGAAGAGCCGUAGAGGCCUUCUGGACCUAGCGUUUCCUGGGGAAGAAGAAAGAUAGGAACUGAAAACCAGAGGAGACUUUUUUGGAGGAAGAUUGGAACCCAGGUCAAAGAAAAGCCAAAAUUCUCAAAGGGAAGCCACUAUCUAAUGCCCGACAGGUGCAUAGCCCACUGACUCUGAAGACAAAUACCUUGCUUCACCCCUAAUGCUGUCCGUGAGUGUCCAGAACCUUCAACCUGGCCCCAAAGUUUCUCCCAUUGGUCACAACCAAGGUGGCUAAUAGUGUGGCAUACCAGUCCCCAUAUCCUUUCUCCUUCAUCACUCCUUUCCCCAUUUCCUCAACUGGAAAUGACAAGAAGCUUCCAGAUCAGAUGUCAUCACCUGGUCCCCUGGAGGAGGUUUCCAUCCUGCCAAAGUUAUACAGCUUCAUCACCCACUUUUGAGCUAGUUCCAAGAAAGCACCUCCCUCCCCAGACUCUCCAUGUCUAAUGCUGGCCCUGGAAUAUUUUAUCCAUGAUGUGGGGCUCAUGGCCAAUCCCAGUCCAUGUUGACCUGUUUUUCGAUCCCAGGCUAAGGCUGCAUUCCCUUCAUUGUCUCGAUAGCUCUUCCUCGUGUGCUCCUAGAGGGCAAGACACUGUUUCUCAUGCAUUUCCGGAUCCCUGGAGCUUAGCUCAGAACUUGGGAUGCAUGGCCUGUGCCUCCUUUAUUUGAAUAAAAUGAUUUCAAAAUGGUGUU